AACGUGGGAGACAAACGUUAUCCGGAGUUACUGGGCGUAAAGGGCGUGUAGGUGGUUUCGUAAGUCUGGCGUGAAAUUUUUCGGCUUAACCGGGAAAGGUCGUCGGAUACUGCGGGACUGGAGGACGGUAGAGGCGUGUGGAAUUCCGGGUGUAGUGGUGAAAUGCGUAGAGAUCCGGAGGAACACCAGUGGCGAAGGCGACACGCUGGGCCGUACCUGACACUGAUGCGCGACAGCAUGGGGAGCAAACAGG
This 253-nucleotide ribosomal RNA is filed under the name uncultured bacterium. RNAcentral's name for it is "partial 16S ribosomal RNA". It matches the Rfam family "Bacterial small subunit ribosomal RNA", at positions 524 to 776 of the family's 1533-position model. The record is from RNAcentral.